This 660-nucleotide ribosomal RNA is filed under the name Alcanivorax sp. M05A56. RNAcentral describes it as "bacterial SSU rRNA". It matches the Rfam family "Bacterial small subunit ribosomal RNA", at positions 688 to 1359 of the family's 1533-position model. Lineage: Bacteria; Pseudomonadati; Pseudomonadota; Gammaproteobacteria; Oceanospirillales; Alcanivoracaceae. The record is from RNAcentral.
UGUUAGAGAUCGAAGGACACCAGCGCGAACGCGGCUCCUGGAGCACACGACGCUGAGGUCGAAAGCGUGGGAGCAAACAGGAUUAGAUACCGUGGUAGUGCACGCCGUAAACGACGUCUAGUAGCCGAUGGGGUCCUUAGUGACUUUCGUGGCUCAGCUAACGCGAUAAGUAGUCCGCCUGGUGAGUACGGCCGCAAGGUAAACCUCAAAUGAAUGACGGGGGCCCGCACAAGCGGCGCGCAUGUGGUAUAAUUCGAUGCAACGCGAAGAUCCUGCCAGGCCUUGACAUCGUGCGAACUCUCUAGAGAUAGAUUGGUGCCUUCGGGAUCGCAGUGACAGGUGCUGCAUGGCUGUCGUCAGCUCGCGUCGUGAGAUGUUGGGUUAAGUCCCGUAACGAGCGCAACCCUCGUCCUUAGUUGCCAGCACUUCGGGUGGGAACUCUAGGGAGACAGCCGGUGACAAACCGGAGGAAGGUGGGGACGACGUCAAGUCAUCAUGGCCCCUACGGCCUGGGCUACACACGUGCUCCAAUGGUUCGUACAGAGGGUCGCGAAGUCGCGAGGCGGAGCUAAUCUCUCAAAGCCAAUCGUAGUCCGGAUUGGAGUCUGCAACUCGCCUCCAUGAAGUCGGAAUCGCUAGUAAUCGCGGAUCAGAAUUCCG